RNAcentral lists this long non-coding RNA (200 nucleotides) under Trifolium pratense (red clover). Its description in RNAcentral is "long non-coding RNA (TPRA_LNC007150)". The record is from RNAcentral. Lineage: Eukaryota; Viridiplantae; Streptophyta; Magnoliopsida; Fabales; Fabaceae.
UUGUUCCAAUUGCCCCACGGUGGGCGCCAAUUGUUGUGAAUUCGUCUAUAAAAAUCACACCAAUAGAAGAACUUGAUGUGUGGAGCAAUAGAACGGCAACCAAAUAAUUAAGCGGAAUAAGCAAUAAUAAUAAUAACCGAUAAAAGAUAAAGGAGAAGAAAGAACACGAUAAUUUGUUUACCCAGUUCGGUCCAAUAAUG